This 301-nucleotide ribosomal RNA is filed under the name uncultured bacterium. RNAcentral describes it as "partial 16S ribosomal RNA". It matches the Rfam family "Bacterial small subunit ribosomal RNA", at positions 509 to 807 of the family's 1533-position model. The record is from RNAcentral.
CAGUCGCCGCGGUAACACGUAGGGUGCAAGCGUUAAUCGGAAUUACUGGGCGUAAAGCGUGCGCAGGCGGUUUGUUAAGACAGAUGUGAAAUCCCCGGGCUUAACCUGGGAACUGCAUUUGUGACUGGUAAGCUAGAGUCUGGCAGAGGGGGGUGGAGUUCCGCGUGUAGCAGUGAAAUGCGUAGAUAUGCGGAGGAACACCGAUGGCGAAGGCAGCCCCCUGGGCCAACACUGACGCUCAUGCACGAAAGCGUGGGGAGCAAACAGGAUUAGAUACCCGUGUAGUCCAUGUCUCUUAUAC